AUUAAAGUUUGUUGUCUCGCUUCUCUGACCCUCUCAGCUCCAAGAUUACGCGCUUUUAUUGCGUCCCAUACACUUUUAGCUGUGUCCAAGUCGCCAACUUGGAGGAUUAGUGCCUCUGGUAUAGAUUGGAACAAAAACGCUAUUGCCAUAUUAUUUUUCUUCUCAUCUUUGAUUCCAGGUUCAAUUGCCUCCCAAACUUCGCUGACUUUCAGUGCUAUCUUCAUCCUCAUACACCAGACAGUAUAGUUUGAUGUAGUUAGCAUUGGGAAUUUGAUGGAGGUUCGGCCAGACUCUUUGCUCGCUGCAGUUUCUUCCUUUACUUCCACCAUUGUUUGUUUCAAGCUUUGAAUUGAUUCUUGCUGGCUCUGAUACCAAAUAUAGAAUCACAAAGCAAUAUAGAAACUCAAAGCAAUAAUAAGAAGUCCUUCUCUUAUUCAAUCAAUCAAGCAAC
Molecule: long non-coding RNA, 451 nt
Filed under: Brassica napus (rape)
Lineage: Eukaryota; Viridiplantae; Streptophyta; Magnoliopsida; Brassicales; Brassicaceae
Description: long non-coding RNA (BNAP_LNC008159)
Source: RNAcentral